Molecule: ribosomal RNA, 677 nt
Filed under: uncultured Staphylococcus sp.
Lineage: Bacteria; Bacillati; Bacillota; Bacilli; Caryophanales; Staphylococcaceae
Description: bacterial SSU rRNA
Rfam family: Bacterial small subunit ribosomal RNA
Source: RNAcentral
GUCGAGCGAACAGACGAGGAGCUUGCUUCUCUGACGUUAGCGGCGGAUGGGUGAGUAACACGUGGAUAACCUACCUAUAAGACUGGGAUAACUUCGGGAAACCGGAGCUAAUACCGGAUAAUAUAUUGGACCGCAUGGUUCAAUAGUGAAAGACGGUUUUGCUGUCACUUAUAGAUGGAUCCGCGCCGCAUUAGCUAGUUGGUAAGGUAACGGCUUACCAAGGCAACGAUGCGUAGCCGACCUGAGAGGGUGAUCGGCCACACUGGAACUGAGACACGGUCCAGACUCCUACGGGAGGCAGCAGUAGGGAAUCUUCCGCAAUGGGCGAAAGCCUGACGGAGCAACGCCGCGUGAGUGAUGAAGGUCUUCGGAUCGUAAAACUCUGUUAUUAGGGAAGAACAAAUGUGUAAGUAACUAUGCACGUCUUGACGGUACCUAAUCAGAAAGCCACGGCUAACUACGUGCCAGCAGCCGCGGUAAUACGUAGGUGGCAAGCGUUAUCCGGAAUUAUUGGGCGUAAAGCGCGCGUAGGCGGUUUUUUAAGUCUGAUGUGAAAGCCCACGGCUCAACCGUGGAGGGUCAUUGGAAACUGGAAAACUUGAGUGCAGAAGAGGAAAGUGGAAUUCCAUGUGUAGCGGUGAAAUGCGCAGAGAUAUGGAGGAACACCAGUGGCGAAG